UAUUGCACAAUGGGCGAAAGCCUGAUGCAGCGACGCCGCGUGAGGGAUGACGGCCUUCGGGUUGUAAACCUCUUUCGACAGGGACGAAGCGCAAGUGACGGUACCUGUAGAAGAAGCACCGGCUAACUACGUGCCAGCAGCCGCGGUAAUACGUAGGGUGCGAGCGUUGUCCGGAAUUACUGGGCGUAAAGAGCUUGUAGGCGGUCUGUCACGUCGGUCGUGAAAACUCACAGCUCAACUGUGGGCCUGCGGUCGAUACGGGCAGACUAGAGUACUUCAGGGGAGACUGGAAUUCCUGGUGUAGCGGUGAAAUGCGCAGAUAUCAGGAGGAACACCGGUGGCGAAGGCGGGUCUCUGGGAAGUAACUGACGCUGAGAAGCGAAAGCGUGGGUAGCGAACAGGAUUAGAUACCCUGGUAGUCCACGCCGUAAACGGUGGGUACUAGGUGUGGGUUUCCUUCCACGGGAUCCGUGCCGUAGCUAACGCAUUAAGUACCCCGCCUGGGGAGUACGGCCGCAAGGCUAAAACUCAAAGGAAUUGACGGGGGCCCGCACAAGCGGCGGAGCAUGUGGAUUAAUUCGAUGCAACGCGAAGAACCUUACCUGGGUUUGACAUACACCGGAAAGCCGUAGAGAUACGGCCCCCCCUUGUGGUCGGUGUACAGGUGGUGCAUGGCUGUCGUCAGCUCGUGUCGUGAGAUGUUGGGUUAAGUCCCGCAACGAGCGCAACCCUUAUCUUAUGUUGCCAGCGCGUAAUGGCGGGGACUCGUGAGAGACUGCCGGGGUCAACUCGGAGGAAGGUGGGGACGACGUCAAGUCAUCAUGCCCCUUAUGUCCAGGGCUUCACACAUGCUACAAUGGCCGGUACAGAGGGCUGCGAUACCGUGAGGUGGAGCGAAUCCCUUAAAGCCGGUCUCAGUUCGGAUCGGGGUCUGCAACUCGACCCCGUGAAGUUGGAGUCGCUAGUAAUCGCAGAUCAGCAACGCUGCGGUGAAUACGUUCCCGGGCCUUGUACACACCGCCCGUCACGUCAUGAAAGUCGGUAACACCCGAAGCCGGUGGCCUAACCC
Molecule: ribosomal RNA, 1069 nt
Filed under: Nocardia seriolae
Lineage: Bacteria; Bacillati; Actinomycetota; Actinomycetes; Mycobacteriales; Nocardiaceae
Description: bacterial SSU rRNA
Rfam family: Bacterial small subunit ribosomal RNA
Source: RNAcentral